Molecule: ribosomal RNA, 1536 nt
Filed under: Ligilactobacillus ruminis
Lineage: Bacteria; Bacillati; Bacillota; Bacilli; Lactobacillales; Lactobacillaceae
Description: bacterial SSU rRNA
Rfam family: Bacterial small subunit ribosomal RNA
Source: RNAcentral
CUUUUACAAUGAAGAGUUUGAUCCUGGCUCAGGAUGAACGCUAGCUACAGGCUUAACACAUGCAAGUCGAGGGGCAGCAUUUUAGUUUGCUUGCAAACUGAAGAUGGCGACCGGCGCACGGGUGAGUAACACGUAUCCAACCUGCCGAUAACUCCGGAAUAGCCUUUCGAAAGAAAGAUUAAUACCGGAUAGCAUACGAAUAUCGCAUGAUAUUUUUAUUAAAGAAUUUCGGUUAUCGAUGGGGAUGCGUUCCAUUAGUUUGUUGGCGGGGUAACGGCCCACCAAGACUACGAUGGAUAGGGGUUCUGAGAGGAAGGUCCCCCACAUUGGAACUGAGACACGGUCCAAACUCCUACGGGAGGCAGCAGUGAGGAAUAUUGGUCAAUGGGCGAGAGCCUGAACCAGCCAAGUAGCGUGAAGGAUGAAGGCUCUAUGGGUCGUAAACUUCUUUUAUAUGGGAAUAAAGUUUUCCACGUGUGGAAUUUUGUAUGUACCAUAUGAAUAAGGAUCGGCUAACUCCGUGCCAGCAGCCGCGGUAAUACGGAGGAUCCGAGCGUUAUCCGGAUUUAUUGGGUUUAAAGGGAGCGUAGGUGGAUUGUUAAGUCAGUUGUGAAAGUUUGCGGCUCAACCGUAAAAUUGCAGUUGAAACUGGCAGUCUUGAGUACAGUAGAGGUGGGCGGAAUUCGUGGUGUAGCGGUGAAAUGCUUAGAUAUCACGAAGAACUCCGAUUGCGAAGGCAGCUCACUAGACUGUCACUGACACUGAUGCUCGAAAGUGUGGGUAUCAAACAGGAUUAGAUACCCUGGUAGUCCACACAGUAAACGAUGAAUACUCGCUGUUUGCGAUAUACAGUAAGCGGCCAAGCGAAAGCAUUAAGUAUUCCACCUGGGGAGUACGCCGGCAACGGUGAAACUCAAAGGAAUUGACGGGGGCCCGCACAAGCGGAGGAACAUGUGGUUUAAUUCGAUGAUACGCGAGGAACCUUACCCGGGCUUAAAUUGCAACAGAAUAUAUUGGAAACAGUAUAGCCGUAAGGCUGUUGUGAAGGUGCUGCAUGGUUGUCGUCAGCUCGUGCCGUGAGGUGUCGGCUUAAGUGCCAUAACGAGCGCAACCCUUAUCUUUAGUUACUAACAGGUCAUGCUGAGGACUCUAGAGAGACUGCCGUCGUAAGAUGUGAGGAAGGUGGGGAUGACGUCAAAUCAGCACGGCCCUUACGUCCGGGGCUACACACGUGUUACAAUGGGGGGUACAGAAGGCAGCUACCUGGCGACAGGAUGCUAAUCCCAAAAACCUCUCUCAGUUCGGAUCGAAGUCUGCAACCCGACUUCGUGAAGCUGGAUUCGCUAGUAAUCGCGCAUCAGCCAUGGCGCGGUGAAUACGUUCCCGGGCCUUGUACACACCGCCCGUCAAGCCAUGAAAGCCGGGGGUACCUGAAGUACGUAACCGCAAGGAGCGUCCUAGGGUAAAACUGGUAAUUGGGGCUAAGUCGUAACAAGGUAGCCGUACCGGAAGGUGCGGCUGGAACACCUCCUUUCU